RNAcentral lists this transfer RNA (73 nucleotides) under Jaapia argillacea MUCL 33604. Its description in RNAcentral is "tRNA-Arg (CCG) (tRNA-Arg-CCG-1-1)". It matches the Rfam family "tRNA". Rfam says of the family: Transfer RNA (tRNA) molecules are approximately 80 nucleotides in length. Their secondary structure includes four short double-helical elements and three loops (D, anti-codon, and T loops). Further hydrogen bonds mediate the characteristic L-shaped molecular structure. tRNAs have two regions of fundamental functional importance: the anti-codon, which is responsible for specific mRNA codon recognition, and the 3' end, to which the tRNAs corresponding amino acid is attached (by aminoacyl-tRNA synthetases). tRNAs cope with the degeneracy of the genetic code in two manners: having more than one tRNA (with a specific anti-codon) for a particular amino acid; and 'wobble' base-pairing, i.e. permitting non-standard base-pairing at the 3rd anti-codon position. Lineage: Eukaryota; Fungi; Basidiomycota; Agaricomycetes; Jaapiales; Jaapiaceae. The record is from RNAcentral.
GUCGGGUUAGCGUAAUGGUUAACGCGCCAGUUUCCGGAGCUGGAGAUUCUGGGUUCGAGUCCCAGGCUUGACG